Small nuclear RNA from Myotis lucifugus (little brown bat), 190 nucleotides. Its record names the gene U2. It matches the Rfam family "U2 spliceosomal RNA". Rfam says of the family: U2 is a small nuclear RNA (snRNA) component of the spliceosome (involved in pre-mRNA splicing). Complementary binding between U2 snRNA (in an area lying towards the 5' end but 3' to hairpin I) and the branchpoint sequence (BPS) of the intron results the bulging out of an unpaired adenosine, on the BPS, which initiates a nucleophilic attack at the intronic 5' splice site, thus starting the first of two transesterification reactions that mediate splicing. The record is from Ensembl. NCBI's taxonomy places the organism in Eukaryota, Metazoa, Chordata, Mammalia, Chiroptera, Vespertilionidae.
AUUGCUUCCUGGCCUUUUGGCUAAGAUCAAGUGUAGUAUUUGUUCUUAUCAGUUUACUAUCUGGUACGUCCUCUAGCCGAGGACAAUAUCUUAAAUGUAUUUUUGGAGCAGGGAGAUGGAAGAGAGCUUGCUCCAUCCACUCUGCACAUUAACCCAGUACUGCAGUACUUCUGGGAAAAGUGCACACACU